CCCUUUUGAACGGGAUAACCCAGCGAAAGGUGGACUAAUACCGUAUACUGCAUAUAUAUCGCAUGAUUAAUAUGUUAAAGGCUGCUCUUCGGAGCAUCCACAAAAGGAUGGGCCUGCGUUCCAUUAGCUAGUUGGUGAGGUAACGGCUCACCAAGGCAGCGAUGGAUAGCUGGUUUGAGAGAGUGAUCAGCCACACUGGGACUGAGAUACGGCCCAG
This 217-nucleotide ribosomal RNA is filed under the name uncultured bacterium. RNAcentral's name for it is "partial 16S ribosomal RNA". It matches the Rfam family "Bacterial small subunit ribosomal RNA", at positions 129 to 334 of the family's 1533-position model. The record is from RNAcentral.